ACAGCUUAUUGCAGUGUGUUGAUAAACCCGUUGUGUGUUUGAUCCGUCAGUGCACAGCUUAUUGCAGUGUGUUGAUAAACCCGUUGUGUGUUUGAUCCGUCAGUGCACAGCUUAUUGCAGUGUGUUGAUAAACCCGUUGUGUGUUUGAUCCGUCAGUGCACAGCUUAUUGCAGUGUGUUGCAUAGUGAAAAAUUGAGGAUGACGUCUGUUGAUUGCAACAUUCCCCUUCUGGUUGCGUCUACACACCAUCUAGAAGUUUUGUUUGUGUCGUCUCUUUCUUCCUGCCUCCUCUUCGACCCCAAGCCCAGAGUUCACAGUUGUCUUGAAAGCACCAUAAAUCCAGAGAAUGCCAGACUUUGAUGACCAAGUUUGAUGACAAAAUUUGCCCACAAAAUACCGCCACUCCACCUUCCUGAACAAGUGAACACAGUACAACAAGGACCUGAGCCCUAGAACCAUGCCCCAGGACUACCUGACAUGAUGACUCCUUGCUGUCCCCA
Molecule: long non-coding RNA, 500 nt
Organism: Oncorhynchus gorbuscha (pink salmon)
Lineage: Eukaryota; Metazoa; Chordata; Actinopteri; Salmoniformes; Salmonidae
Exons: 3
Source: RefSeq, a predicted model, not a curated record